RNAcentral lists this ribosomal RNA (292 nucleotides) under uncultured bacterium. RNAcentral describes it as "partial 16S ribosomal RNA". It matches the Rfam family "Bacterial small subunit ribosomal RNA", at positions 505 to 796 of the family's 1533-position model. The record is from RNAcentral.
GUGCCAGCCGCCGCGGUAAGACAGAGGAGGCCAGCGUUGUCCGGACUGACUGGGCGUAAAGCGCGCGCAGGCGGCGCGGGGCGUCGGUGCUGAAAGGCUCCCGCUUAACGGGGGACGGCGUGCCGAUACGCUCGCGCUGGAGGACGGGCGAGGGUGGUGGAAUUGCCGGUAUAGUGGUGAAAUGCGUAGAGAUCGGCAGGAACACCCAGGGGGAAACCAGUGGACUGGGCAGGGGCUGACGCUCAGGUGCGAAAGCGUGGGGAGCGAACCGGAUUAGAAACCCGCGUAGUCC